Molecule: long non-coding RNA, 189 nt
Filed under: Aotus nancymaae (Ma's night monkey)
Lineage: Eukaryota; Metazoa; Chordata; Mammalia; Primates; Aotidae
Description: lncRNA (ENSANAG00000038672.1)
Source: RNAcentral
UUAUUGUUGAGGAUUUCAGAGAAAGUUUCUCCAUCAUGCUGGAGACACAUUUCUCCUGCAAUGUGCUUGCAAAUCUUUUUAAGAAAUGUUUAUAGCACACAGAAGAUUCUUGCUGUUCACCAACUUAAGAUGUGCAGUUCUGAAAAUAUGAAAGCAACCCAAAUAAAAUAAUGUUUAAUUUCACAAAAA